GAUCAUGGCUCAGGAUGAACGCUAGCUACAGGCUUAACACAUGCAAGUCGAGGGGCAUCAGGAAUCUAGCUUGCUAGAUUUGCUGGCGACCGGCGCACGGGUGAGUGACGCGUAUCCAACCUUCCCCUUAGUAGGGCAUAGCCCGGCGAAAGUCGGAUUAAUACCCUAUGUUAUCCGAAGAAGACAUCUGAAUUGGAUUAAAGAUUUAUCGCUAAGGGAUGGGGAUGCGUCCGAUUAGGUUGUUGGCGGGUAACGGCCCACCAAGCCUUCGAUCGGUAGGGGUUCUGAGAGGAAGGUCCCCCACACUGGUACUGAGACACGGACCAGACUCCUACGGGAGGCAGCAGUGAGGAAUAUUGGUCAAUGGGCGCGAGCCUGAACCAGCCAAGUAGCGUGCAAGGAUGACGGCCCUAUGGGUUGUAAACUGCUUUUAUGCGGGGAUAAAGUGCGCCACGUGUGGUGUUUUGUAGGUACCGCAUGAAUAAGGACCGGCUAAUUCCGUGCCAGCAGCUGC
This 514-nucleotide ribosomal RNA is filed under the name uncultured bacterium. RNAcentral's name for it is "bacterial SSU rRNA". It matches the Rfam family "Bacterial small subunit ribosomal RNA", at positions 15 to 518 of the family's 1533-position model. The record is from RNAcentral.